Molecule: long non-coding RNA, 827 nt
Filed under: Gallus gallus (chicken)
Lineage: Eukaryota; Metazoa; Chordata; Aves; Galliformes; Phasianidae
Source: RNAcentral
CAAAAUAGGGCUUUAUAAUGGCUGUGGGCUCAAGCUAGAGGGAGCAAAUCCAACCUUGUUUUUGAAGCUUUGCAGCUCACGGGCCGUUAGAUAAGUGGUCCAGCCGACUGCUGAAAAAUACCAGUGUAAUACUGAGGUGCAGGUAAGGAAAAAAGAAACUUGAGGAGGAGGGGAAGAGAACAUCAGGCUUUGAAAUCUUCAGGGGAAACAGAAAUGGCCACUGACUUGAGCCCAACACAGGGCAUCAAGGAGCAACAAAUCGACCAGGGAAGUGUAAGCACAAAGGAGAAGCCUCAACAUGAUAGAUGACCCAAAGCCCUCUGGAAAACUUGACCCCCCUACCAGGAGGCAGUCGGAAGAAGGGCAUGACAUGACGAAGUAGACCGUUGCUGCUAUCCUACAAGAAUGCAAAGAAAAUUUCUUUUCCCCUGUUGUCCUCGAAGCCAACACAAGAAGAAAAAGGCAGCAACUUGGCGGCUUUAAAAAUCAAGGAAAUCUUAGCGAAAUUUUCAAGCUCCAUCUUGCAUAGCGGAGACUACUGAUGCUUAUUAGAAGACCAUGUGGGAAAGUGAUUUUGUUUGGAAGAUGCAAAUAGAAAAGAAUAAUUAAAAGGUAACAGAAGAUUGGUCUAUUUAGUGCUGAAACAGACACCCUUGGAUUAGGAGCACCAAAUAAAAUUAGUCUGAAAAAUAUCCACGUAAUCCUCCCAUCUUCUCUUUCUCUUUAGAUAAGAGUAGGGCAGAAUAUUCCAGGGAUUUAAGGCAUCAUUUGUUUACAUGGUCAUAUUUUAAUCAUUUCCAAGAAGCUAAGGUUACACAACCCCAGCG